Molecule: ribosomal RNA, 465 nt
Filed under: uncultured bacterium
Lineage: Bacteria
Description: partial 16S ribosomal RNA
Rfam family: Bacterial small subunit ribosomal RNA
Source: RNAcentral
GACGAACGCUGGCGGCGUGCUUAACACAUGCAAGUCGAACGGAAAGGCCCUGCUGGAAGCGUCCUCGAGUGGCGAACGGGUGGAUAACACGUGGGGGGAGUACCCUGCACUUAGGCAUAAGCCUGGGAAACUGUAUCUAAUACCGGCUAGGAGCAAUUUUUCGUGUGAUGGUUGGACAGUUUGUUCGGUGUGGGAUGAGCUCGCGGCCUAUCAGCUUGUUGGUGGGGUAAUGGCCUACCAAGGCGGCGACGGGUAGCCGGCCUGAGAGGGUGGACGGCCACAUUGGGACUGGGAUACGGCCCAGACUCCUACGGGAGGCAGCAGUGGGGAAGAUUGAAAAAUGGGCGCAAGCCUGAUGCAGAGACGCCGCGGGGGGGAUGACGGACUUCGGGUUGGAAACGCCUUGCGCUAGGGACGAAGCUUUUUGUGACGGUACCUAGAUAAGAAGCCCCGGCUAACUACGUG